Molecule: ribosomal RNA, 186 nt
Filed under: uncultured Bacteroidota bacterium
Lineage: Bacteria; Pseudomonadati; Bacteroidota
Description: uncultured Bacteroidetes bacterium partial 16S ribosomal RNA
Rfam family: Bacterial small subunit ribosomal RNA
Source: RNAcentral
CCUACGGGAGGCAGCAGUGAGGAAUAUUGGGCAAUGGAGGCAACUCUGACCCAGCCAUGCCGCGUGCAGGAAGAAGGUUCUAUGGAUCGUAAACUGCUUUUAUACAGGAAGAAAUAGUCUCUCGUGAGAGAUUUUGACGGUACUGUAAGAAUAAGCACCGGCUAACUCCGUGCCAGCAGCCGCGGU